This 765-nucleotide ribosomal RNA is filed under the name Triticum aestivum (bread wheat). RNAcentral describes it as "partial small subunit ribosomal RNA". The record is from RNAcentral. Lineage: Eukaryota; Viridiplantae; Streptophyta; Magnoliopsida; Poales; Poaceae.
AUGUCGGAACCAACACCGAUCCAGGGCGCGAGGGGGCAGGGGGAAGAGAAGGAGGAGAGGACGGAGAUUGGAUCGGGGUCAUCAGCAGGCGAUGCAAGGCGCGUUCCUAGCGCGGUACUAGAGGAGGAGGAGAGGGAUGAAGUUGCGGGAGAAGUUCAUGGGGAGGAAGGAGAGGAUUGUGAAGGCUAUGGACCAGAACCAGAUCUGCAAGAUCAAUUUGCCGGACUAAAACUGCAUGGUGAGGAAGAGGAUGAUCUGGAUCUCUCGGGAGAGGUUGAAGAGCUUGUCAAGGAUGUAAGAUGGCUCGGGCUUUUUAGGGUUCAUACUACUAAACCCUUCGGCCAUGCCGCUCUGUUGAACCAGAUGAGAAACGCUUGGGCAGCGGCAAAGGGCGUGACCUUUAGUGUCAAGGGACCUAAUCUAUUCUUAGUCCAGUGCCAUUGUCUUGGAGAUUGGAAGCGUAUAAUGGAUGGGGGGCCGUGGCUGUUUCGUAGAGCGCUGGUCAUUAUCGUCGAGUACAACGGGUUCACGGAUGUAUCAGAAUAUAGGCUGAAUAAGGUGCCAGUUUGGGCGCGGAUCAAGGGUUUACCAGAUGGCAUGACGGCAAAGAAGGAAUUAGCGGAGAAGGUAGCAGCUAAAGUGGGAGGCCCACCAUUCACGGUGGUAGUCACCGAAGGAGUGAUCAAUCCUAGCGGCACCCUGAGAGCUAGGGUUUUUCUUGAUGUUGAGAAGCCGCUGGUUAGGUUUGUCCCGAUUACACUGUGA